Molecule: long non-coding RNA, 392 nt
Organism: Portunus trituberculatus (swimming crab)
Lineage: Eukaryota; Metazoa; Arthropoda; Malacostraca; Decapoda; Portunidae
Exons: 2
Source: RefSeq, a predicted model, not a curated record
GAAGAAUGAGAUGCGGAAAGUUUGUUAGGAAUAAUUUAUGUCGAGCAGUGAAGAUUUAGUAAGGUAGGAAAUGGCUAUUUGCUCAAGAAAUAAUAUAGAAGUACAUGCAAGAAUAAACAUCAAGAAUAAACAUACAUAACAGUAAAGGUAGGUAAUCGUCAGAGGUCAGAUAACUGAUGUGCAAGUUAUUAUAAUGUGCAGACAUAUAAUUUCCACCACAUGUAUUUUUUUUUUUUUGUUAAUCUACCAGUGAUGAGUGCAAGAGCAGGUUAUAGGAAUGUGUAUAGACUUGAAAAUAAAAAAAACAGUAAGAAUUUUUAAGUUCAGCUUAUCAACUUAAUUUGAUGAACAAAGUCAUGUUUGAUAGAGUUAGCUAGAUUUGGUGAGAAAAA